ACCUACCUAUAAGACUGGGAUAACUUCGGGAAACCGGAGCUAAUACCGGAUAAUAUUUUGAACCGCAUGGUUCAAAAGUGAAAGACGGUCUUGCUGUCACUUAUAGAUGGAUCCGCGCUGCAUUAGCUAGUUGGUAAGGUAACGGCUUACCAAGGCAACGAUGCAUAGCCGACCUGAGAGGGUGAUCGGCCACACUGGAACUGAGACACGGGUCCAGACUCCUACGGGAGCAGCAGUAGGGAAUCUUCCGCAAUGGGCGAAAGCCUGACGUGAGCAACGCCGCGUGAGUGAUGAAGGUCUUCGGAUCGUAAAACUCUGUUAUUAGGGAAGAACAUAUGUGUAAGUAACUGUGCACAUCUUGACGGUACCUAAUCAGAAAGCCACGGCUAACUACGUGCCAGCAGCCGCGGUAAUACGUAGGUGGCAAGCGUUAUCCGGAAUUAUUGGGCGUAAAGCGCGCGUAGCGGUUUUUUAAGUCUGAUGUGAAAGCCCACGGCUCAACCGUGGAGGGUCAUUGGAAACUGGAAAACUUGAGUGCAGAAGAGGAAAGUGGAAUUCCAUGUGUAGCCGGUGAAAUGCGCAGAGAUAUGGAGGAACACCAGUGGCGAAGGCGACUUUCUGGUCUGUAACUGACGCUGAUGUGCGAAAGCGUGGGGAUCAAACAGGAUUAGAUACCCUGGUAGUCCACGCCGUAAACGAUGAGUGCUAAGUGUUAGGGGGUUUCCGCCCCUUAGUGCUGCAGCUAACGCAUUAAGCACUCCGCCUGGGGAGUACGACCGCAAGGUUG
Molecule: ribosomal RNA, 787 nt
Filed under: uncultured Staphylococcus sp.
Lineage: Bacteria; Bacillati; Bacillota; Bacilli; Caryophanales; Staphylococcaceae
Description: bacterial SSU rRNA
Rfam family: Bacterial small subunit ribosomal RNA
Source: RNAcentral